GCUGAGCUCAGCAACGUGAGUUUGUAACCCGAGUGGGGGCUUUAAUGUGGUGGGACGUUGACCAUGCUUAUAAGGUCGGGUCCAGUGCGGCUGUUAUCUGGCCCGCCCGUUCCAAGCCAGGAGUUGAACCAAGGCAUCUUAGUGAAGACCUGGGUGUCUCAGCUCUUAGAGUGGAGGGCAUAGCGUGAGGCUGGUCUCACAGAGCAGCGAUCACCUCUCGCUCCUGGCAGUGGAAGGAUAACGGGUCGGUGCCAUCUGGAUCCGCAUGGCCUGAUGGGCUGGUCCUAAUUGAACCAUCACUUUU
Molecule: signal recognition particle RNA, 304 nt
Filed under: Populus trichocarpa (black cottonwood)
Lineage: Eukaryota; Viridiplantae; Streptophyta; Magnoliopsida; Malpighiales; Salicaceae
Description: Plant signal recognition particle RNA
Rfam family: Plant signal recognition particle RNA
Source: Rfam by way of RNAcentral